CCCGGGCCCGCGCGGCGUGCGCGUGAUCGCUCCCGGCCGCCGGGGGUCGAGUGUACUCUGCGCGCCCCGCCCGCCGUCGUCUGCCCCCCGCGAGGCUGGGGAGCGCGGCCGAAAGCCAUGCCCCUCUUCGUGCCCACUGUAGCAGCUGAGCGGGAGGGGUCCUGCUGGGGGCCGGGGCCGGGCGGGAAAGAAGAGGGCUCCUCCCCCGCGGCUUGGGAGGGCUGCUGAACGCCGGAGCCUUACAACUGUUAAACUCAGGCAGAGCUCGGGAAAUGCUGCCCGGAUGGGUGACUGAUGGAGAGGGGCUACCACUCUUCCAGCUAAACUCCGCUCUGGUUGGGACCCAGCAAUUAUUUUCCAUAGCGAAGUGUUAAUAAAAUAUCUGUUACUCCCAACACAACCUCCUGGGGGAAGGGACCUGUCUGUCUGCUUCAACUUUGGAUCCUCAGUGCCCACAUCAGGAUACCUGGCCUGAGAGCAUCCGGUGACCCAGUUUUAGGUCUCAAGGUCACUGCCAAGAAAGAGAAGCUGCUAAAGUGACACCUCUGUGCACCCACAUGACUUAACACAAAAGUUAACAGGAGCUCUUCAAAAACAAGCCUCUCGAGUGUCUGUCUCCUGUUUUCCCUGAGGACAGCAUCAGUGGCAUCAGAUAGGGGUUGGGGCUGGGUGACCUGCUGGUCCUCAGCCAUCACUGUGGCCCAGAGGUCAUUUAAGCAGCUCUCUGCUUAGCAGACAGGCAGAGGGAAUAGAUGGAAGGUACAGGUAAACACUGCAUGUGGCCACCGCGAGGAUACCCCGGAGCCUGGGAAACAGACAGGGACGUCGUAAAACCAACACAUAAUGGACCAGUGCAGAGACAGGCAAAACCAGUCAGAAGAAAUAGGAUGGUGCCUAGCCCAGGGACACCUGACUUAAGAGAGGGUCCUGCCGGUAUUACCCUGGAGGAAGGAAUGCUGCACAGAGGCCGAGAGGAAUUUGAACAGACUGGCCUUGCUGGGUUUUUAUCUCUUUUUGUCCAAUCCCAUUUUGACACAGUUGUCCAUGCUCCAAUCAUGCUUAUCCAAUGAAGUUUCCAUAACAGGCCUGAGAGGACAGGGUUCAGGAGCUUCCGGACAGCUGAGCAGGUGGAGGUUCCUGGAGGGUGGUGUGCCAGGGAGGGUGUGGAAGCUCUGCCCCUUCCCCCAUACCUUGUCCUAUGCAUUCCUUUAUCUGCAUCCUUCAUUUUAUUUUAUUUUUUUUUGAGACGGAGUCUUGCUCUUGUCGUCCAGGCUGGAAUGCAGUGGUGCGCGAUCUUGGCGCACUGCAACCUCCGCCUCCCGAGUUCAAGAGAUUCUCUUGCCUGAGCCUCCCGAGUAGCUGGGAUUACAGGCACCCGCCACCAUCCCUGGCUAAUUUUUGUAUUUUUAGUAGAGAUGGGGUUUCACCAUGUUGGCCAGGUUAGUCUUGAACUCCUGACCUCAGGUGAUCCACCCACCUCAGCCUCCCAAAGUGCUGAGAUUACAGGCGUGAGCCACAGUGCCCGGCCUGUAUCCUUUAUAAUAUCUUUUAUAAACAACCAAUCAGUAAAUGUGUUACUCUGACUUCUGUGAGCUGCUCUAGCAAAUUAAUCAAAUCCACAGAAGGGUCAUGGGAACCCCAACUUGAAGCCUGUCCGUCAGAAGUUCCAGAGUCCUGGACUUGUGACUGGUGUCUGAAGUGGGCAAGUCUUGGGGACUGAGCCCCUAGCCUGUGGGAUCUGAUGCUAUCUCCACAUAGAUAGCAAUGGAAUUGAAUUGGCGGGCACCUGGCUGGUGUCUGCUGCAGAGCUCAUUGUUUGCUUAGUGGUGGAGAGAAGUCUCCCUCCACAUGUGGUCACAGCAUCUUCUGUCUGUGUUGAUUGCUUUUGAUGUUGAUCGAGAGAACAGGAAAAAGCACAUUGAAUGUCUCAAUGAUGAAGAUGACAAUAAUCUGGCUUCUAGGUUGUUAUGCGGCAGGCAACAGCUGUGCAGAUCCUAAUAAUCUACUCUGGGUGACAGUUUAACACAGGGGUUGGCAAAUGUGGCCCACUUCCUAUUUUUAUAAAUAAAGUUUUAUUGAAACAUG
This 2085-nucleotide long non-coding RNA is filed under the name Homo sapiens (human). RNAcentral's name for it is "EFHD2 antisense RNA 1, transcript variant 5 (EFHD2-AS1)". Lineage: Eukaryota; Metazoa; Chordata; Mammalia; Primates; Hominidae. The record is from RNAcentral.